CAGGGUAACAGAGGAGUGAGUCUCUGACCUAGGGUUGGGGUUUCACCCAGCUGGGACACCAACGGGAGCCUGGGAAUGAGACAGUGUGGUCAUGGAGAUGCCCCACUAGGGCCACACUGUGGUGCUGCCACCAGGCUCCCCCCUGUAAUGGAGCUCCUGGUGCCUGAAGCUGUGACAACACCUGGGAUCUGGCCUGUGACAGUGCCUCCUGGGUGCCACUUUUGGCCUUGAUGGUGCCCCCCCAUGCCCAACUCUGAGUCUGUGAGUGCCAGGUGGAGAAGCUGCCUGCUUGCCACGUGCAGCUUUGGCUUGGACCUGGUCUCUUCUCAGAAGACACUACCUGUGGUAGGAGACAGCAACUUAACCACUGGUUCUGAAUUUUCAAGAGACCACCUGUUCUGGCCUGAGGAGGCAGCUUCCUGAGAAGCAGCAGCUUGCCUGGGUCUUCGUGAAUCAUCAGAAUAAAUGACAUCUUGGGAACUCUCCCCACUACUCCACGCAGAUUCCUGUGCAAGGCCGCAGGCUUCUCCACGAGGUUGGCUCACCCCUGCCCCACCCCACUGCCAGGGUUGUGGAGAGCAUGGGGUAGUGAGGAGCACACACUGCUGGAACUGAGUGGACAGGGGCCCCCAAUGUGAAAACUGGAAUCAUGUGGUAAAGCAGACAAUGUGCCUGCAGUUCCACUCCUGUUGGUGUGCACAGCAGCAAACAAGGGAUUGUAUUCAGGUGCACUGCUGGGCAGAGCCCCAGGGUGAAACCACCCAACUGCCGUCAAGGUGGGGCGGAGGCACAGGACUCAAAAGGAGACAGAGACACAGUGAAUCUCAAAGACAUCCUGUUGAGCAAAAGUCAGACACAAAAAGGUACAUCCUGUUUGAAAUUCAAAAACAAGCCAAACAAACUAUUUUUAGGGCUACAUGGCAGAAAAUCAAGGAAACGCUCACCCCUACCAUCAGAUUUCAUCAGGGGGAAAGAGAGAGGAGAAAGAAAAUCCAGAGAAGAAAAACCCUGUCUAUUCUUCUGCCUUUGCGGAAAAUAAUACCUUAAAGGAACAAUCAAUCAAUAAAACAAAAUAAACAUCAUCAACAAACAGAAUAAAAUUCUUUAUCACCACCACUGUGAAUACAGCAAAGUGACAUGAAGCAGUUGAAAGUAAAAGGACAGGCAAAAAUACAUUAAGUAUAUGCAUGCAAAAAUAGAAAUGGAAAUGUUAAUUUCUGAAAAUGUGAUUUGGGACAAAAAAAGAAAAAAUUGUGUUGAAAAAUAAAAAUUACAAUGAAUAUGGAACUCAUAAAGUUCUGUUCACUGAUAAAAUAACAUCAAACAUAAAGCAAAAUCAGCAGUAUGUGAGAAAUUGAAAAAAACUUCACUUGUAGUGAAAGGGUCUUCUCCAACUCUGUCUUUGAGGGGUGGAGUAUCUAUAAAAACCACACACUAGACUACUAAUAAAACUACAAUA
This is a long non-coding RNA of Talpa occidentalis (Iberian mole), 1459 nucleotides long. RefSeq lists it as uncharacterized. The transcript is spliced from 3 exons. The record is from RefSeq and is a predicted model, not a curated record. Lineage: Eukaryota; Metazoa; Chordata; Mammalia; Eulipotyphla; Talpidae.